GAUGACAGAUUGAGAGCUCUUUCUCGAUUCGGUGGGUGGUGGUGCAUGGCCGUUCUUAGUUGGUGGAGUGAUUUGUCUGGUUAAUUCCGAUAACGAACGAGACUCUGUCCUGCUAAAUAGCAUCCUGAUUCUUUUGUCAGGCUGUCUUCUUAGAGGGACUGGCGGAUCUAAGCCGCACGAGAUUGAGCAAUAACAGGUCUGUGAUGCCCUUAGAUGUUCUGGGCUGCACACGCGCUACACUGAAGGGAUCAGCGUGCCUUCCCUUUCCGACAGGAACGGGUAACCCGCUGAACCCCCUUCGUGGUAGGGAUUGGAGCUUGCAAUUAUUCUCCAUGAACCAGGAAUUCCCAGUAAGCGCAAGUCAUAAGCUUGCGUUGAUUACGUCCCUGCCCCUUUGUAAGAAA
RNAcentral lists this ribosomal RNA (404 nucleotides) under Copepoda sp. 51_UnivF-1183. RNAcentral describes it as "SSU rRNA". It matches the Rfam family "Eukaryotic small subunit ribosomal RNA", at positions 1239 to 1664 of the family's 1831-position model. Lineage: Eukaryota; Metazoa; Arthropoda; Copepoda. The record is from RNAcentral.